RNAcentral lists this ribosomal RNA (563 nucleotides) under uncultured Glomeromycotina. Its description in RNAcentral is "SSU rRNA". It matches the Rfam family "Eukaryotic small subunit ribosomal RNA", at positions 550 to 1125 of the family's 1831-position model. Lineage: Eukaryota; Fungi; Glomeromycota. The record is from RNAcentral.
UUGGAGGGCAAGUCUGGUGCCAGCAGCCGCGGUAAUUCCAGCUCCAAUAGCGUAUAUUAAAGUUGUUGCAGUUAAAAAGCUCGUAGUUGAAUUUCGGGGUUAGUAGGUUGGUCAUGCCACUGGUAUGUACUGGUCUCACUGAUUCCUCCUUCCUGAUGAGCCGUAAUGCCAUUAAUUUGGUGUUGCGAGGAAUCUGGACUGUUACUUUGAAAAAAUUAGAGUGUUUAAAGCAAGCUAACGCUUGAAUACAUUAGCAUGGAAUAAUGAAAUAGGACGUUCGAUCCUAUUUUGUUGGUUUCUAGGAUUGACGUAAUGAUUAAUAGGGAUAGUUGGGGGCAUUAGUAUUCAAUUGUCAGAGGCGAAAUUCUUGGAUUUAUUGAAGACUAACUACUGCGAAAGCAUUUGCCAAGGAUGUUUUCAUUAAUCAAGAACGAAAGUUAGGGGAUCGAAGACGAUCAGAUACCGUCGUAGUCUUAACCAUAAACUAUGCCGACUAGGGAUCGGAUGAUGUUAUUUUUAAUGACUCAUUCGGCGCCUUACGGGAAACYAAAGUGUUUGGGUUC